CCUAGUGGUUAGAGCAGGUUGCCUAGUGGUUAGAGACAGGUAGCCUAGUGGUUAGAGCAGAUAGCCUAGUGGUUAGAGCAGGUAGCCUAGUGGUUAGAGCAGGUAGCCUAGUGGUUAGAGCAGGUAGCCUAGUGGUUAGAGCAGGUAGCCUAGUGGUUAGAGCAGGUAGCCUAGUGGUUAGAGACAGGUAGCCUAGUGGUUAGAGCAGGUAGCCUAGUGGUUAGAGCAGGUAGCCUAGUGGUUAGAGCAGGUAGCCUAGUGGUUAGAGCAGGUAGCCUAGUGGUUAGAGCAGGUAGCCUAGUGGUUAGAGCAGGUAGCCUAGUGGUUAGAGACAGGUAGCCUAGUGGUUAGAGCAGGUAGCCUAGUGGUUAGAGCAGGUAGCCUAGUGGUUAGAGCAGGUAGCCUAGUGGUUAGAGCAGGUAGCCUAGUGGUUAGAGCAGGUAGCCUAGUGGUUAGAGCAGGUAGCCUAGUGGUUAGAGCAGGUAGCCUAGUGGAUAGAGCAGGUAGCCUAGUGGUUAGAGCAGGUAGCCUAGUGGUUAGAGCAGGUAGCCUAGUGGUUAGAGC
Molecule: long non-coding RNA, 564 nt
Organism: Oncorhynchus keta (chum salmon)
Lineage: Eukaryota; Metazoa; Chordata; Actinopteri; Salmoniformes; Salmonidae
Exons: 3
Source: RefSeq, a predicted model, not a curated record